This 168-nucleotide ribosomal RNA is filed under the name Arenibacter nanhaiticus. RNAcentral describes it as "16S rRNA. Bacterial SSU". It matches the Rfam family "Bacterial small subunit ribosomal RNA", at positions 1 to 159 of the family's 1533-position model. The record is from RNAcentral. Lineage: Bacteria; Pseudomonadati; Bacteroidota; Flavobacteriia; Flavobacteriales; Flavobacteriaceae.
CAACGAUGAAGAGUUUGAUCCUGGCUCAGGAUGAACGCUAGCGGCAGGCCUAACACAUGCAAGUCGAGGGGCAGCGGGGAUAAGCUUGCUUAUCUGCCGGCGACCGGCGCACGGGUGCGUAACGCGUAUAGAAUCUGCCUUGUACUAGGGAAUAGCCCAGAGAAAUUU